UGAUGCUUGACACAACCCGACCCACACACA
Molecule: non-coding RNA, 30 nt
Filed under: Homo sapiens (human)
Lineage: Eukaryota; Metazoa; Chordata; Mammalia; Primates; Hominidae
Source: RNAcentral